This 253-nucleotide ribosomal RNA is filed under the name uncultured bacterium. RNAcentral describes it as "partial 16S ribosomal RNA". It matches the Rfam family "Bacterial small subunit ribosomal RNA", at positions 524 to 776 of the family's 1533-position model. The record is from RNAcentral.
UACGGAGGGUGCAAGCGUUGUUCGGAAUCAUUGGGCGUAAAGCGCGUGUAGGCGGCUUGGUAAGUCGGGUGUGAAAUCCCGGGGCCCAACCCCGGAAUUGCACUCGAAACUGCCUCGCUAGAGUCCCGGAGAGGAAGGCGGAAUUCCCGGUGUAGAGGUGAAAUUCGUAGAUAUCGGGAGGAACACCAGCGGCGAAGGCGGCCUUCUGGACGGUGACUGACGCUCAGACGCGAAAGCGUGGGAAGCAAACCGG